Macaca mulatta (Rhesus monkey) is the source of this 1082-nucleotide non-coding RNA. The record is from RefSeq and is a predicted model, not a curated record. Lineage: Eukaryota; Metazoa; Chordata; Mammalia; Primates; Cercopithecidae.
ACAUUGCUCUUGGUUUCCCAUAACUGUGAAAACACUAAGAACCAAGUAGAAAUUUUCCGGGGAGAAGUUCUUCGGCUGGCGGUGGGGCCCAAACUGAGAAAGGCCACAGCAUCACUUCAGCGGCAGUGGACGGUCGGGGCCAGAGGGGGCCCCCUGAAGGACAGGAGUGACCAGACAAAAAGGAGAAUGGUCUCGCUUCUUGCCCAAGAUUGGCGGGGGGUAGAGAGGGGGUGGAAGGUGGUCGGGGAGUAAAAAACACAAAAUAUGAAUCUUCAAAGGGUUUGCAAAUAUGGUGUAUUUCUUCUUGCAGGACUCAAACCACUCUCUCUAGAUGCAUAGCACAGGCCCUUCUAGCUGCAACCAAGAUCCUCUCUAGGGAGCUGGACUACAGAUUCCACAAGGGCAAGGCCUGCUUAUCUUAUUUCUUCAUCCUAAAUUUAUUCAUUUGACCAACUCUGGCACUCCAGACCGCAUGCCCUGAGGUCCAAAGGCCAGCAAUUCUGGGCUGUGGCCCUCCGGUAGCCCUUCAUCUGCUGGGGAGGCUGGCGAGUAAACAAGUCAAUGGAACAUUAUGCCACAAUGACACAGCGCAGUGAGUGCCAUCCUGCGGAACGAAGCCCAGAAAAAAAUACUCAAGAUGUCUUCCAAGAUUGAAGCAAUGAUAUCUGAGCCAAUCCAACCAACUCAGCAGCCACCUUAUCCUCAAGGAUCUUGGAUGUGCAGUAAUUCCCAUCUCCCACCCAGCCCUCCUGACACUCGCCACAGGGGAACUUUCACCCGGCACAACACGGACAGCGUCGCCUAGUGAACACACCCCCACCCCACGCCCCAAAGUUCGAAGUUGAGAAUAAGCCAUUUGCUGGUGGACUCGGUUCCCACAGGAGGGACGAGGAUGGCUGCCAUCUGCACAUCAGCUGCCUGGGACUUAACAUUUCGCACGUCACGUUUCAAACAGAGGCAGCAGCUGCAGCUGAGAUGAAGCAUAUCCAAGUAUACUUAGCCCUUACUAUAUUGGAAGAAAACAUAUUUCCCAGUUCCGAUGACCUUCAUUUUCUGCUGUAUUCAAGUCUUACAUAAUUUAA